AGCAAUACAAAGGCUAAGAAGGGCAGAUCUGAUCUGAUCUGAGCCAAGAAGCAAUGGCUCCUAAGAAAAUAACCUACCAGCAUCUCAGAAACUCCCUUUGUCUUCCCAUGUUUGAGGUUCUACCCAGGAAGCAGGCACCAAAUGGAAAUAUCUGAAACCAUCCCAGCAACCCAACCACAGCUGGUUCUCCCUGGAGACCAUGAACCACACUGUCCAAACCCUCUUCACUCCUGCCAACACCGGCCGCUCCACCAACCAUGAGAUGCUCAAGGAGAAGCAUGAGGUGGCUGUGCUGGGGGCACCCCACAACCCUGUGCCUCCAGCGUUCACCAUGAUCCA
Molecule: long non-coding RNA, 339 nt
Filed under: Homo sapiens (human)
Lineage: Eukaryota; Metazoa; Chordata; Mammalia; Primates; Hominidae
Description: PCED1B antisense RNA 1
Source: RNAcentral